AUUUUUAUAGUGUAAAAAACACAUAGUUCUUUCAAAACUAAAUUAUCUGUUUUUAAAAAUCAGAUUAAAGUA
RNAcentral lists this transfer RNA (72 nucleotides) under Cyphocaris challengeri. RNAcentral describes it as "tRNA-Glu". Lineage: Eukaryota; Metazoa; Arthropoda; Malacostraca; Amphipoda; Cyphocarididae. The record is from RNAcentral.